Molecule: ribosomal RNA, 468 nt
Filed under: uncultured bacterium
Lineage: Bacteria
Description: partial 16S ribosomal RNA
Rfam family: Bacterial small subunit ribosomal RNA
Source: RNAcentral
GACGAACGCUGGCGGCGUGCCUAACACAUGCAAGUCGAACGGAAAGGCCCUGCUUUUGUGGGGUGCUCGAGUGGCGAACGGGUGAGUAACACGUGAGUAACCUGCCCUUGACUUUGGGAUAACUUCAGGAAACUGGGGCUAAUACCGGAUAGGAGCUCCUGCUGCAUGGUGGGGGUUGGAAAGUUUCGGCGGUUGGGGAUGGACUCGCGGCUUAUCAGCUUGUUGGUGGGGUAGUGGCUUACCAAGGCUUUGACGGGUGGCCGGCCUGAGAGGGUGACCGGCCACAUUGGGACUGAGAUACGGCCCAGACUCCUACGGGAGGCAGCAGUGGGGAAUAUUGCACAAUGGGCGGAAGCCUGAUGCAGCAACGCCGCGUGCGGGAUGACGGCCUUCGGGUUGUAAACCGCUUUCGCCUGUGACGAAGCGUGAGUGACGGUAAUGGGUAAAGAAGCACCGGCUAACUACGUG